GGUCUUUUUUGCACUUGCACUUGAGGCAAAAAAAAAAAAAAAAAAAAAACAACCAUAACAGAAGAUAUGGAGUAAAUUCUGUGCAACUCUAAUGGACAGCUUAAAACAGACAGACAGACAGACAGCCCAGAACCUGAAUGUUAUUAAUACUCUUAAACUCUUAGAAUUUAAGACCCACAUUUAGCAAAAAUCUCACCUUUUUCCUUCUUUCCUUUUUUCUAAUUUUGGUACUUUUCCUCUGUUUGAAUUUUCAGAAACUGUUCACUGAUAAUUUUUAGAUCUAAGUUAUUUUAUUUUAUAGGCUCAUCUUUUAAAGAACAGGACUGUACCAUAAAGUGAUGUGAGCAUGUGUAUCUCUUGAGACUACCAUGGUUUUCCUCACUGUUUUAUUUCUAAUGCUUUGUUACAAGAGUAGACCUUUCUAUACUACUGUGUGGAAUAAAUGUUUGCAAUAUUAAUGUACCUCUUCCUUCUCAGUCUUGCUUCUUAUCUCAUACAAUCGAGAAGGCGUAGCCCAUUUUAUUUAUAAACUUUAAUUUUAGGUUGUUAGAAUAUAUACAUGUAUUAUGUCUAAUUUUUGACUGUGCAUAAAUUAUGCAGUUGCAUUAGUGGCUUUUAUUUUUAUUUGAAAAAAAAUUGAGAAAAUGGAGAAACCAAAGACAGUGUUAGGGUAUGGUCAUAUGUAACCAUAGCUGCUAAUAAGCCUGUUUGCAAUCUCAUCUUUCCAUAGGUGGUUGCCUAUCACUAUUGCCAGGCAGAUAAUGCCUACACCUGCCUGGUACCAGAAUUCGUCCACAAUGUUGCUGCCCUGCUCUGCCGCUCACCUCAGCUGACAGCUUACCGGGAACAGCUUCUUCGGGAGCCUCACCUGCAGAGCAUGCUAAGCCUCCGGUCCUGUGUUCAAGAUCCCAUGGCCUCCUUCCGGAGAGGAGUCCUAGAGCCCUUGGAGAACCUCCACAAAGGUAUAAAUAAGGUUGAAAAGAGCCGUGGUCACUUGCGUUGUGAUAUAGAAAUGAUUGUGUUUAUUACAUUGUCAGAACUAAAUGUUCUAUAGCUGAUGUCUACAGAGUACAGCAUGCAGAAGACUUUUCUUGGGUAGAGUGUGAUAAUGCACAUAUGUAGUCCCAGCAUUUGGAAGAGGCUAGGGUAGGUGGACUGCUUCAAUCCAGGAAUUAAAAACAAACCUAGGCAAUGUAACAGGACGCAUUUCAAAAUAACAAAUCUAUGUAGAAACUGAUCCUUCCUCCUUCCUUUGUAAAAGUUCUUAUUUUGAUUUCCAAAUAAUUUUAGUUUUCUUAUAAUAAAGGUAGUAGAGCUUCUAAUCCUUUCUGUGGAAGUAGAAUUAAUCAAUAAAGUUGCUGCUCCAUCUCACUCUUUCAGAGUUUGUAGGGCUAGAAUCUAUAGUUAGAAAAUAUCUGCAGUACAUUUAUUAUGCCACCCAUGGCUGCAUACCUCACUCAGUAUUGACACUAGAAAUCACUUACUGUUCACUUGGAAGGUAUGUAAAAAGGCACAUGGACAUUUUGUGGUACAUAAAUUGUAUCAGAAAAGCUAGUGGUUGUUAAUGAAAAUGAAAUGAGUGGGCUCUGUCUCCCUCUUGUGCUCAUGCCUUACCUUUUCCUUUCCAGCCCUGGUACUCACUGAAGCCUAAGCACAGUCAUCUCCUUAAACCUCUCUCCACAUUUUUUCACCUUUUAAAUUUUUUAUUUUUAGUGUGGGGAGGCAGGUUGGUGUGGAGCAUUGCAUCCAUAAUACAGCUAUAUGUGAAUGUACACAUCCACAUGUAAAGAGGCCAGAGGAAGAGGCUGGUGUCUUCCUCUGUAGCUCUCUUCAUUAAUUGUCGUAACGCUGGGUCUCUGACUGACUGACCAUUGAGCUCCUGAAUCUUCCUGUCUCUCCUCCCACCCCCAGCACUGGGGUUUCUGGCAUGUGCUGCCAUACUCAGCUUUUUACAUGUGUGCUUGGGAGUCCAGCUUUUGCAUAGCACUCUUUUUUUUUUAGAUUUAUUUAUUUAUUAUAUGUGAGUACACUGUAGCUGUCCUCAGAUACCCCAUAAGAGGGCAUUAGAUUUUGUUACAGAUGGUUGUGAGCCACCAUAUGGUUGCUGGGAUUUGAACUCGGAACCUUCGGAAGAGCAGUCGGCGCUCUUAACCACUGAGCCAUCUCGCCAGCCCCCUGCAUAGCACUCUGAGCACAAUGCUGAGUCGUCCACUACACACUGUGGGCAUGCACCCCAAGAAGGUAAAUACUGCAGCAGUGUUGUCCAAAACAGUGGACUUAAAAUAGAAGUCAUUAACAAUACUUAAACCUUAAAUAUGUAUAGGUGAGCCUCUUCUAAAUAACCUAUAGGUCAAAGAGCAGGUCAUACAAAGAAUGUUUAAUAUUUCAAAAUGAAUGAUGUAAAAUAACUUGUGUGAGUUUCUUUCUUAAACUAGGAAAAUAAAUUUAAUUAGUAUAAAUAAGGAAGUGAUCUUCUAACAGAAAUGAUUGAAGUAGAAAGUUGAUGUGAAAUUGGAUAAUCAAGCCUCAACAAGACUGUUCAAAAAAUAUGGGAGAAAAACAUGAAUUAACAGCAACAUAAAUCAAGAGCUGGUACUACAGUUCAUAAAAAUAUUUUUAAAAAUAAACCAUUAUAAACAACCUUAUCACAAUAAAAUUCAACAAACUGACUAAAGUAGACAGGUUAUUCUUAAAACACACAUAUUGCUUAACAUAUUUU
Molecule: long non-coding RNA, 2719 nt
Filed under: Mus musculus (house mouse)
Lineage: Eukaryota; Metazoa; Chordata; Mammalia; Rodentia; Muridae
Description: long non-coding RNA chr11:105856666-105859385
Source: RNAcentral